ACAAGGAGAAUUUCAGCCAGCUCUAGGGAGAAAAGAGGGGAGAAAAACCAAGAGAAAAUAAGAGAAAGAACAAGAAAAAAUUCUGGUUUUGUGCAACCCAUACAACAAGCUUGGGAGUUAGAGCAAAAGAAAGCUAAGGAACUUGGUUCUUGAAGUGCAACCUUGUGAACCCACCUUUGGAAGGUAAAACAGCCUUGAACCCUUGUAAAAACUUAUAGCAAUUGAGUAGAAAUGUUGAUUUUGAUGUUGUAAGAUGCUAAUAAGGGUUAAUGAUGGUUUAUAUAUCACUUUUGUGGGUUUGUGUGGAAAAUUUGGUGAUUUCUACGGUUGUUGAGAAAAUUCCAGAAUUGAGAUUUCUUAUGGUUCAGUUCUGCCCGUUUCUGUUUGAGUAUGUUAGAGGCCGAAUUAGCCUUAGCACAAAACAUGAAAGUUGUAGAUAAUGAUGUUUUAUAGUUUCCUACAAAAUUUCAACUCAAUCGGAGCAACGUAGCCUAUGAAAAGACUGAAAUACCCCUGCUGCCCUGUUUCUAUCCGAACAUGCUAAUCAGCUUCUGUAAUUGGUUGGUUUGACCCGGAAUACUACUGCUUUGGUUAUUGAUGUCUUCUUAAGCAUUAUAGCCUUGUAUCUUAGCUUUCUAAUGGCUUUGGAAUUACCUGAAUUGGAGUUGUGUGUGCUGAGAUAUGAGUGAAUAAAGCAGGACUGCUAGUUGAUUUCUGCAGUGAAUUUCGAACUGGAAAAUCUGGAGUUAUUUUGGUAAAUUUGACAUAUUUAGGGUGAGAACUGGACUGAGUGGUUUUCAUGAAAGUUGUAGGGAAUGAUAUUUUAGAGGUGUCUACAAAAUUACAGGUCAAUCGGAGUAGCGUAGCUUGAGAAAAGACGGAAUUACCCUUGCUGUCCUGGUUUUACCCGAAUGCUAGAAUUGCGCCUGUAAUUGGUUGUUUUGGCUGGAAUUGCUUCCGAAUUGGUUGUUGAGGUCUUCUAAUGAAAUUUAGCCCUGUUUCUUAGCUUUCCGUUGGUUUUAGAAUUUCUGGAUUUGGACUUGGAUAGCCUGAUUUAUGAUGUUUCCGCUAGAAUACGUUCUGUGAAUCUGUUUUUGUGAUUCUAGUGUAGUAUCUUGUAUUUUUGACCUGGUUACACUAGAAACUGGGUUGAGUGACCUUCUGCAAUAUUGUAGCCCUAUCUCUUAGCUUCGAAACGGUGUAUCUUGCACCUUCAUCCGAUAAUCGUAGUGCCUUUGGUACCAUUACCGCAAAAUGACGUCAAAACUGUUUUUCUGGUUUUGAGCUUAACUUUCAUUUCCGAACUUUUCCCUAGCUUGACUUGUACUAGUACUACUUGGAGCUUGUUGAAUGGCUAUUGGAUGAACUUGUUGUUGUGUGUGUACCUUUGGGACUGGCUGAAGAAAUAAUGAACCCAUGAUGGCUGGAAAAGUUAGCAAAUUUAGGGGAAGUGCUGUCCGAACUUUGAAGGGACUUGUUUGCAUUGAAUUUGUGAUCUAAGACUUGGAUUUGAGCAAAGCAAUGUUAUAUGAUGGAUGAUUCUGAGCCAUGGAGGUGAGUAACUCUAAACUAUUUCUGAAGUUAUUUAUGAACCGUUUCCUGCAUUAUUUACUUUUGAACUGUUUCCAAAAUUACUUUUGAACCGCUUUCCUGCAUUAUUUACCUUUAAACUGUUUCUAAAGUUACUUUUGAACUGUUUUCUUGCAUAUCAUGCGUGCUUGCAUAUGAGUGUUCCUUGUUUGCUAUAUUUCUUGACUUAUUGGCUUGUUAUUAUUGAUUUAUAAUGUGUUAAGUGCUUUUGAUGAUUGUUAAAACGAGUUUUCUAGGCGAGUGUGUACUUUAUCGCACUCGACCUAAAUAAAUAUAAAUUUACAAUAAUUAAUGAUUAAAUGCUAGUUGCGCAUGAAUGAAAGCCGUUUGGCUGAAUUAGGCCCUGCCCUUCGUUACCGAUCGACUCGAGUCAGAAGCGGACUCGGUCGGGCGAUAUGGUGACCCUGGGUGAAUUUGGUAUACUCGAGUAUUACCUUGUAGUCCGGCUACGUCCGGAUGGGUGGAGUCCAGCUACGUCCGGAUGGGUGGAGACCGGCCAAUGUCCGGAAAAAAAAAAAGAUGAACGAAUAAAAAGAUGAACGAGGGAUUAUUUAUAAAAAAAUGAACGUAUCCUUUUCAUGAAUGUUACUAUCGCUUUCCAUUGUACAUGUUUCUUGAAUUAUUGAUACUCCAUAUUUAAUGCUUUGUAAAUGCUGUAAUCGUUUCUGGACUUAUCAUUUGAUUUAUGACAUCAUUGAAAAGAAAUAUUGUUAAACCGAUUUGAUUACUGAUUUUCUGGUUACUCGCUGAGCUUCUAACUCACCCCAAAAAUAUUUUAUUCCCCUCCACAGGGCUCAAGGCGAAGGCAGGACUUGUUGUGCUUAUUCACGUGAAUGGAUGGCCUAUAUCUUGUACAGUUUUGGAUUUGGAAUUAUUUGAUGUAUAGUUGAGAAUUAAUUUCCGCUGCAUUUGUGACAUGUAAUUAUUGGAGACUUGGAUGUAUAUUUGUGGACCAUGUGAUGUAUAUUUGAGGUUUAUUCUUGUAAUUCAUUUGAGGACUUUAGUGAACGACUCACGACUGAGUCCCGACGAGAGCUGGGCAGACGGUCCGCUGAACCCCCUGGUUCGCCCUAGGGGGAGGUGGGGCUGUCACAUAAGUCUUCAUCUCAUUACCAAUUCAACCAUUUAACUUGAUUUCAGGCCACUAAUCACUCACCAAGUUUAAAGUUUAGAUUAUUAGAAACCAUGUUUCUUAGCUUAUUAAACAAGAUACGAAAUUCCAACAAUCUUUCUCACAUUUCUCUUCAAGAUUUGUUAAGUUUAUUAACUAAGAAUGAUGAAUAUAUACAAAUACACCGAAUUUAAAGUCUUGUGAAAUAGUUAGACUAAGAUUAAAUCAUUUUCAAUCCCACUUAAAGAGUAGAACUGGAAAAACUUUUCAUUUCUUCUCUCUCGGUCAAAUCAAUUUCCAAUCAACUUUGUUGUUUAAGUUCUCUCAGAUUUCAUCUGCUUUUCAGGUCUCAAAUUCACUAAAAUGGACGUGAACGAUAGGGUCAAGAUGUUAUAAGAUGUUUUAUACAAGAUUACAACCAAUCAUCCUGGAAUUUUUUUUUGAAAUAUCAUAAGAGCUUCAUCUCCUCCCUCUCUCGGCCGACAAACAGAUUUCCAGCAACAUUACCUCAAGGUUUUCAACAAAGUUCCAUCUUUUACUUGGUUAAAACACUCAACACUCAGUAUACACUCUGUCCUACCUAAACUAAAACAAAUAACAUGUAAUUUGAGCAAAUAAUCCCAACAAAAGCAACAAUUAAUUCUGUCCUCAGCUAAAUGCAACUUCCAGCAGUUCGGCAGUUAAGUACAAGACUAUUUCCCUCAAUUUCUUCAUUUUCCUCACCCCCAACUUAACAUGCAGAGAGUAAUUAUCAAACUACAGAGUUUUUAAGCAGCAAUAUGAAAUUUAUUGCCAAGAAUUUGAAGAGAAAAGCU
RNAcentral lists this long non-coding RNA (3516 nucleotides) under Coffea arabica (coffee). RNAcentral's name for it is "long non-coding RNA (CARA_LNC004265)". The record is from RNAcentral. Lineage: Eukaryota; Viridiplantae; Streptophyta; Magnoliopsida; Gentianales; Rubiaceae.